RNAcentral lists this ribosomal RNA (496 nucleotides) under uncultured bacterium. RNAcentral describes it as "partial 16S ribosomal RNA". It matches the Rfam family "Bacterial small subunit ribosomal RNA", at positions 28 to 506 of the family's 1533-position model. The record is from RNAcentral.
GAUGAACGCUGGCGGCGUGCCUAAUACAUGCAAGUCGAGCGAACAGACGAGGAGCUUGCUCCUCUGACGUUAGCGGCGGACGGGUGAGUAACACGUGGAUAACCUACCUAUAAGACUGGGAUAACUUCGGGAAACCGGAGCUAAUACCGGAUAAUAUAUUGAACCGCAUGGUUCAAUAGUGAAAGACGGUUUUGCUGUCACUUAUAGAUGGAUCCGCGCCGCAUUAGCUAGUUGGUAAGGUAACGGCUUACCAAGGCGACGAUGCGUAGCCGACCUGAGAGGGUGAUCGGCCACACUGGAACUGAGACACGGUCCAGACCCCUACGGGAGGCAGCAGUAGGGAAUUUUCCGCAAUGGGCGAAAGCCUGACGGAGCAACGCCGCGUGAGUGAUGAAGGUCUUCGGAUCGUAAAACUCUGUUAUUAGGGAAGAACAAAUGUGUAAGUAACUAUGCACGUCUUGACGGUACCUAAUCAGAAAGCCACGGCUAACUACGU